GACGAACGCUGGCGGCGUGCUUAACACAUGCAAGUCGAACGGAAAGGCCCUGCUUUUGUGGGGUGCUCGAGUGGCGAACGGGUGAGUCACACGUGUGUAACCUGCCCUUGACUUUGGGAUAACUUCAGGAAACUGGGGCUAAUACCGGAUAGGCGCUCCUGCUGCAUGGUGGGGGUUGGAAAGUUUCGGCGGUUGGGGAUGGACUCGCGGCUUAUCAGCUUGUGGGUGGGGUAGUGGCUUACCAAGGCUUUGACGGGUAGCCGGCCUGAGGGGGUGACCGGCAACAUUGGGACUGGGAUACGGCCCGAACUCCUACGGGAGGAAGAGGUGGGGAAUAUUGCACAAGGGGCGGAGGCCUGAGGCAGCAACGCCGCGUGCGGGAUGAGGGCCUUCGGGUGGUAAACCGCUUUCGCCUGUGACGAAGCGUGAGUGACGGUAGUGGGUAAAGAAGCACCGGCUAACUACGUG
Molecule: ribosomal RNA, 468 nt
Filed under: uncultured bacterium
Lineage: Bacteria
Description: partial 16S ribosomal RNA
Rfam family: Bacterial small subunit ribosomal RNA
Source: RNAcentral